CAAAGCCCAUACCGCAUAGUCAGCUAUAAAAGGCCCCGAUAAGACAAUGUGAAACAAUUUAAACGAGAAAACUAACGGCCUUAUUUAUGUAAAAAAAUGAACGAAAAACAAAUAUGUAACACAUAAACAAACGACAACCACUGAAUUACAAGCUCCUGACUUGGGACAGGCACAUACAUAAAUAAUGUGGCGGGGUUAAACGUGUUAGCGGG
Molecule: long non-coding RNA, 212 nt
Filed under: Mytilus galloprovincialis (Mediterranean mussel)
Lineage: Eukaryota; Metazoa; Mollusca; Bivalvia; Mytilida; Mytilidae
Source: RNAcentral